UACGGAGGGUGCGAGCGUUAUCCGGAAUUACUGGGUUUAAAGGGUGCGUAGGCGGCUAAGUAAGUCAGGAGUGAAAGUUUGCGGCUCAACCGUAAAAUUGCUUUUGAUACUGCAUAGCUAGAGUACGGAAGAGGAAGGCGGAAUUCCCGGUGUAGCGGUGAAAUGCGUAGAUAUCGGGAGGAACAUCAGUGGCGAAGGCGGCCUUCUGGUCCAGUACUGACACUCAAGUGCGAAAGCGUGGGGAGCAAACAGG
RNAcentral lists this ribosomal RNA (253 nucleotides) under uncultured bacterium. RNAcentral's name for it is "partial 16S ribosomal RNA". It matches the Rfam family "Bacterial small subunit ribosomal RNA", at positions 524 to 776 of the family's 1533-position model. The record is from RNAcentral.